Molecule: ribosomal RNA, 447 nt
Filed under: uncultured bacterium
Lineage: Bacteria
Description: partial 16S ribosomal RNA
Rfam family: Bacterial small subunit ribosomal RNA
Source: RNAcentral
AACGAACGCUGGCGGCAGGCUUAACACAUGCAAGUCGAGCGCCCCGCAAGGGGAGCGGCAGACGGGUGAGUAACGCGUGGGAAUCUACCCAGCUCUACGGAACAACUCCGGGAAACUGGAGCUAAUACCGUAUACGUCCUUCUGGAGAAGGAUUUAUCGGAGUUGGAUGAGCUCGCGUUGGAUUAGCUAGUUGGUGGGGUAAUGGCCUACCAAGGAGACGAUCCAUAGCUGGUCUGAGAGGAUGAUCAGCCACACUGGGACUGUGACACGGCCCAGACUCCUACGGGAGGCAGCAGUGGGGAAUAUUGGACAAUGGGCGAAAGCCUGAUCCAUCCAUGCCGCGUAAGUGAUGAAGGCCCUAGGGUUGGAAAGCUCUUUCACCGGUGAAGAUAAUGACGGUAACCGGAGAAGAAGCCCCGGCUAACGUCGUGCCAGCAGCCGCAGUAA